GAUGAACGCUGGCGGCGUGCCUAACACAUGCAAGUCGAGCGGCAGCGAGGGGUGCUUGCACCCUGUCGGCGAGCGGCGGACGGCUGAGUAACGCGUGGGAACGUGCCCCAAAGUGAGGAAUAACUGCCCGAAAGGGUAGCUAAUACCGCAUAUUAUCUUCGGAUCAAAGGAUUUAUCCGCUUUGGGAGCGGCUCGCGUCGGAUUAGGUAGUUGGUGAGGUAAUGGCUCACCAAGCCGACGAUCCGUAGCUGGUCUGAGAGGAUGACCAGCCAGACUGGAACUGAGACACGGUCCAGACUCCUACGGGAGGCAGCAGUGAGGAAUCUUCCACAAUGGGCGAAAGCCUGAUGGAGCAACGCCGCGUGCAGGACGAAGGCCUUCGGGUUGUAAACUGCUUUUAGAAGUGAGGAAUAUGACGGUAACUUAUGAAUAAGGAUCGGCUAACUACGU
This 450-nucleotide ribosomal RNA is filed under the name uncultured bacterium. RNAcentral's name for it is "partial 16S ribosomal RNA". It matches the Rfam family "Bacterial small subunit ribosomal RNA", at positions 28 to 506 of the family's 1533-position model. The record is from RNAcentral.